AGUGAACGCUGGCGGUAGGCCUAACACAUGCAAGUCGAACGGCAGCACAGUAAGAGCUUGCUCUUACGGGUGGCGAGUGGCGGACGGGUGAGGAAUACAUCGGAAUCUACUUUUUCGUGGGGGAUAACGUAGGGAAACUUACGCUAAUACCGCAUACGACCUACGUGUGAAAGCAGGGGAUCUUCGGACCUUGCGCGAGUGAAUGAGCCGAUGUCGGAUUAGCUAGUUGGCGGGGUAAAGGCCCACCAAGGCGACGAUCCGUAGCUGGUCUGAGAGGAUGAUCAGCCACACUGGAACUGAGACACGGUCCAGACUCCUACGGGAGGCAGCAGUGGGGAAUAUUGGACAAUGGGCGCAAGCCUGAUCCAGCCAUACCGCGUGGGUGAAGAAGGCCUUCGGGUUGUAAAGCCCUUUUGUUGGGAAAGAAAAGCAGCAGGUUAAUACCCCGCUGUUCUGACGGUACCCAAAGAAUAAGCACCGGCUAACUUCGUG
RNAcentral lists this ribosomal RNA (492 nucleotides) under uncultured bacterium. RNAcentral's name for it is "partial 16S ribosomal RNA". It matches the Rfam family "Bacterial small subunit ribosomal RNA", at positions 29 to 507 of the family's 1533-position model. The record is from RNAcentral.